This 1313-nucleotide long non-coding RNA is filed under the name Sus scrofa (pig). RNAcentral's name for it is "lncRNA (ENSSSCG00070028730.1)". The record is from RNAcentral. Lineage: Eukaryota; Metazoa; Chordata; Mammalia; Artiodactyla; Suidae.
AGCAGUCUUCAAUUAUACAAUAUAAUGUUAUCAACUACAGUUACCAUGUGAUACAUCAGAUCCUCAGACUUUAUUGAUCUCAAAGCUGAAAGUUUGUAUCCUUUCUUAAGACCAGUUUGGCAAGGCCAGUCAUUAAACAGUGUGGAGUUGAAGCUAAAUAGAGAGUUCAAAACAAAGUGAAAGGCCAGGCUAAAAAAUGAAUAUGGUCAUUAAUUUAUCUAUGGAUCCCAAUAUGUGAUCAUUCUGCUUCAAUCAUUCCCCUAGUCAUUCAGUCAACCAAUUUUAUGAGUCAUCUACUAUGUAAUCUAUUGAUUAAGGGGAAACUGCCAUAGGGUAUGUUUAUCUACUCCAAUAGUGUGUGCAUGGUACAACAAUGGAACAAUAAAUGGGAGGACCCAGUUUUGCCUGAAGGGAGGGAAGAGCCAUCAAGGAAGACUGCCCAGAAAAGCUGAUGCUCGAGGCAAGACUUCUGGGGGAGAAGCAUGCCAAACCAGAAAAGAUAAGGACACCAGUUAUCACAGAAUUUGUGUGACAGCACUUAAACGAUACACACUGACUUUGGGACAUCCAACUUUUACCAGGUACUGUUUUAGGAGAAUAAUCAAUAGCGUUUAGUGUAAUGCAAAUUACACUAAAUUUUGGCUGUCAAACUCCAAAGCAUAGAGAAAUUAUUAAGAGUUAAACACAGUGAAGAUCUCUAGGGUCCCUAAAGCGCAGCUGUAGGUUCAGAAAGUUGUACUACAUUUUCUUACAUGGCUACCAAAUCCUGCUUCUAUUUCCUCAUCUAGGAGGAGAUAAGGACUGAAUUUGGUGUGUCUGAUUCCUUUGAGAGGAAGAUAUGAAUUUGAUUAAGGAGUCAACAUUCAUAUUUUUCUGAUAAUUAGCAAUAACUUGUGGCUAGGGAGCUAAACAUCACUCCUGUCCUGAGAAUGUAAAUGUGUGUACUUGUUUUGCUCCAAGGUUGUCUUUCAUUUCAUAGUUUUUCCAUUUUUGUAAUACUCUGGUAUUAACUGGAGGGGCCACUAACAUUUGUCUUAACGUCUUGAUGUGUGUGGGAGAAGGAGGUGGGCGUGUGUGUGGGUAUGCGCACGUGCGAACAAAUGUUUUGCUGUUGCUCUCUUAACACCUGCAUAAAGGCAUGUGUAGGAUAAGGUGGAAUAUUUAAGAGUGUGAAGGGAGGCACACAUGGAAAGAGAAUCGAUGCAUUAUAAAAAUACAAAUAGAAGCCUCUGUGAAUAUGUAUGAAAGAAUGAUACACUGUAAAUGGAGCAUGCAAUUUUUGAAAGAAUAAAGCUCUAAAAUUUGGCUGUUCA